CUGCGGUUUUGCGGUGAGUUUCUUCGUUUACACCGAAGAUGUCGGGAGUUCGAGUCUCUCAUCGCCCACCA
Molecule: transfer RNA, 71 nt
Filed under: Labrenzia sp. PHM005
Lineage: Bacteria; Pseudomonadati; Pseudomonadota; Alphaproteobacteria; Hyphomicrobiales; Stappiaceae
Description: tRNA-Ser
Source: RNAcentral